UACGGAGGGUGCGAGCGUUGUCCGGAAUCACUGGGCGUAAAGGGCGCGUAGGCGGCUCAUGAAGGCUGUGGUGAAAGUCCGGGGCUCAACCUCGGAUCGGCCGUGGCGACUCGUGGGCUGGAGCACUGUAGAGGCGGGUGGAAUUCCGGGUGUAGCGGUGGAAUGCGUAGAGAUCCGGAAGAACACCAGUGGCGAAGGCGGCCCGCUGGGCAGUGGCUGACGCUGAGGCGCGACAGCCGUGGG
Molecule: ribosomal RNA, 243 nt
Filed under: uncultured bacterium
Lineage: Bacteria
Description: partial 16S ribosomal RNA
Rfam family: Bacterial small subunit ribosomal RNA
Source: RNAcentral